RNAcentral lists this long non-coding RNA (4735 nucleotides) under Homo sapiens (human). Lineage: Eukaryota; Metazoa; Chordata; Mammalia; Primates; Hominidae. The record is from RNAcentral.
GGCAGCCAGCGCAGGGGCUUCUGCUGAGGGGGCAGGCGGAGCUUGAGGAAACCGCAGAUAAGUUUUUUUCUCUUUGAAAGAUAGAGAUUAAUACAACUACUUAAAAAAUAUAGUCAAUAGGUUACUAAGAUAUUGCUUAGCGUUAAGUUUUUAACGUAAUUUUAAUAGCUUAAGAUUUUAAGAGAAAAUAUGAAGACUUAGAAGAGUAGCAUGAGGAAGGAAAAGAUAAAAGGUUUCUAAAACAUGACGGAGGUUGAGAUGAAGCUUCUUCAUGGAGUAAAAAAUGUAUUUAAAAGAAAAUUGAGAGAAAGGACUACAGAGCCCCGAAUUAAUACCAAUAGAAGGGCAAUGCUUUUAGAUUAAAAUGAAGGUGACUUAAACAGCUUAAAGUUUAGUUUAAAAGUUGUAGGUGAUUAAAAUAAUUUGAAGGCGAUCUUUUAAAAAGAGAUUAAACCGAAGGUGAUUAAAAGACCUUGAAAUCCAUGACGCAGGGAGAAUUGCGUCAUUUAAAGCCUAGUUAACGCAUUUACUAAACGCAGACGAAAAUGGAAAGAUUAAUUGGGAGUGGUAGGAUGAAACAAUUUGGAGAAGAUAGAAGUUUGAAGUGGAAAACUGGAAGACAGAAGUACGGGAAGGCGAAGAAAAGAAUAGAGAAGAUAGGGAAAUUAGAAGAUAAAAACAUACUUUUAGAAGAAAAAAGAUAAAUUUAAACCUGAAAAGUAGGAAGCAGAAGAAAAAAGACAAGCUAGGAAACAAAAAGCUAAGGGCAAAAUGUACAAACUUAGAAGAAAAUUGGAAGAUAGAAACAAGAUAGAAAAUGAAAAUAUUGUCAAGAGUUUCAGAUAGAAAAUGAAAAACAAGCUAAGACAAGUAUUGGAGAAGUAUAGAAGAUAGAAAAAUAUAAAGCCAAAAAUUGGAUAAAAUAGCACUGAAAAAAUGAGGAAAUUAUUGGUAACCAAUUUAUUUUAAAAGCCCAUCAAUUUAAUUUCUGGUGGUGCAGAAGUUAGAAGGUAAAGCUUGAGAAGAUGAGGGUGUUUACGUAGACCAGAACCAAUUUAGAAGAAUACUUGAAGCUAGAAGGGGAAGUUGGUUAAAAAUCACAUCAAAAAGCUACUAAAAGGACUGGUGUAAUUUAAAAAAAACUAAGGCAGAAGGCUUUUGGAAGAGUUAGAAGAAUUUGGAAGGCCUUAAAUAUAGUAGCUUAGUUUGAAAAAUGUGAAGGACUUUCGUAACGGAAGUAAUUCAAGAUCAAGAGUAAUUACCAACUUAAUGUUUUUGCAUUGGACUUUGAGUUAAGAUUAUUUUUUAAAUCCUGAGGACUAGCAUUAAUUGACAGCUGACCCAGGUGCUACACAGAAGUGGAUUCAGUGAAUCUAGGAAGACAGCAGCAGACAGGAUUCCAGGAACCAGUGUUUGAUGAAGCUAGGACUGAGGAGCAAGCGAGCAAGCAGCAGUUCGUGGUGAAGAUAGGAAAAGAGUCCAGGAGCCAGUGCGAUUUGGUGAAGGAAGCUAGGAAGAAGGAAGGAGCGCUAACGAUUUGGUGGUGAAGCUAGGAAAAAGGAUUCCAGGAAGGAGCGAGUGCAAUUUGGUGAUGAAGGUAGCAGGCGGCUUGGCUUGGCAACCACACGGAGGAGGCGAGCAGGCGUUGUGCGUAGAGGAUCCUAGACCAGCAUGCCAGUGUGCCAAGGCCACAGGGAAAGCGAGUGGUUGGUAAAAAUCCGUGAGGUCGGCAAUAUGUUGUUUUUCUGGAACUUACUUAUGACAGGUAUCUCUUCGUUAUCAGAAGAGUUGCUUCAUUUCAUCUGGGAGCAGAAAACAGCAGGCAGCUGUUAACAGAUAAGUUUAACUUGCAUCUGCAGUAUUGCAUGUUAGGGAUAAGUGCUUAUUUUUAAGAGCUGUGGAGUUCUUAAAUAUCAACCAUGGCACUUUCUCCUGACCCCUUCCCUAGGGGAUUUCAGGAUUGAGAAAUUUUUCCAUCGAGCCUUUUUAAAAUUGUAGGACUUGUUCCUGUGGGCUUCAGUGAUGGGAUAGUACACUUCACUCAGAGGCAUUUGCAUCUUUAAAUAAUUUCUUAAAAGCCUCUAAAGUGAUCAGUGCCUUGAUGCCAACUAAGGAAAUUUGUUUAGCAUUGAAUCUCUGAAGGCUCUAUGAAAGGAAUAGCAUGAUGUGCUGUUAGAAUCAGAUGUUACUGCUAAAAUUUACAUGUUGUGAUGUAAAUUGUGUAGAAAACCAUUAAAUCAUUCAAAAUAAUAAACUAUUUUUAUUAGAGAAUGUAUACUUUUAGAAAGCUGUCUCCUUAUUUAAAUAAAAUAGUGUUUGUCUGUAGUUCAGUGUUGGGGCAAUCUUGGGGGGGAUUCUUCUCUAAUCUUUCAGAAACUUUGUCUGCGAACACUCUUUAAUGGACCAGAUCAGGAUUUGAGCGGAAGAACGAAUGUAACUUUAAGGCAGGAAAGACAAAUUUUAUUCUUCAUAAAGUGAUGAGCAUAUAAUAAUUCCAGGCACAUGGCAAUAGAGGCCCUCUAAAUAAGGAAUAAAUAACCUCUUAGACAGGUGGGAGAUUAUGAUCAGAGUAAAAGGUAAUUACACAUUUUAUUUCCAGAAAGUCAGGGGUCUAUAAAUUGACAGUGAUUAGAGUAAUACUUUUUCACAUUUCCAAAGUUUGCAUGUUAACUUUAAAUGCUUACAAUCUUAGAGUGGUAGGCAAUGUUUUACACUAUUGACCUUAUAUAGGGAAGGGAGGGGGUGCCUGUGGGGUUUUAAAGAAUUUUCCUUUGCAGAGGCAUUUCAUCCUUCAUGAAGCCAUUCAGGAUUUUGAAUUGCAUAUGAGUGCUUGGCUCUUCCUUCUGUUCUAACUUCACAGAGAAUGCAGUUGUCUUGACUUCAGAUGCAACCUUAAAAUCAGUGACAAGAAACAUUCCAAACAAGCAACAGUCUUCAAGAAAUUAAACUGGCAAGUGGAAAUGUUUAAACAGUUCAGUGAUCUUUAGUGCAUUGUUUAUGUGUGGGUUUCUCUCUCCCCUCCCUUGGUCUUAAUUCUUACAUGCAGGAACACUCAGCAGACACACGUAUGCGAAGGGCCAGAGAAGCCAGACCCAGUAAGAAAAAAUAGCCUAUUUACUUUAAAUAAACCAAACAUUCCAUUUUAAAUGUGGGGAUUGGGAACCACUAGUUCUUUCAGAUGGUAUUCUUCAGACUAUAGAAGGAGCUUCCAGUUGAAUUCACCAGUGGACAAAAUGAGGAAAACAGGUGAACAAGCUUUUUCUGUAUUUACAUACAAAGUCAGAUCAGUUAUGGGACAAUAGUAUUGAAUAGAUUUCAGCUUUAUGCUGGAGUAACUGGCAUGUGAGCAAACUGUGUUGGCGUGGGGGUGGAGGGGUGAGGUGGGCGCUAAGCCUUUUUUUAAGAUUUUUCAGGUACCCCUCACUAAAGGCACCGAAGGCUUAAAGUAGGACAACCAUGGAGCCUUCCUGUGGCAGGAGAGACAACAAAGCGCUAUUAUCCUAAGGUCAAGAGAAGUGUCAGCCUCACCUGAUUUUUAUUAGUAAUGAGGACUUGCCUCAACUCCCUCUUUCUGGAGUGAAGCAUCCGAAGGAAUGCUUGAAGUACCCCUGGGCUUCUCUUAACAUUUAAGCAAGCUGUUUUUAUAGCAGCUCUUAAUAAUAAAGCCCAAAUCUCAAGCGGUGCUUGAAGGGGAGGGAAAGGGGGAAAGCGGGCAACCACUUUUCCCUAGCUUUUCCAGAAGCCUGUUAAAAGCAAGGUCUCCCCACAAGCAACUUCUCUGCCACAUCGCCACCCCGUGCCUUUUGAUCUAGCACAGACCCUUCACCCCUCACCUCGAUGCAGCCAGUAGCUUGGAUCCUUGUGGGCAUGAUCCAUAAUCGGUUUCAAGGUAACGAUGGUGUCGAGGUCUUUGGUGGGUUGAACUAUGUUAGAAAAGGCCAUUAAUUUGCCUGCAAAUUGUUAACAGAAGGGUAUUAAAACCACAGCUAAGUAGCUCUAUUAUAAUACUUAUCCAGUGACUAAAACCAACUUAAACCAGUAAGUGGAGAAAUAACAUGUUCAAGAACUGUAAUGCUGGGUGGGAACAUGUAACUUGUAGACUGGAGAAGAUAGGCAUUUGAGUGGCUGAGAGGGCUUUUGGGUGGGAAUGCAAAAAUUCUCUGCUAAGACUUUUUCAGGUGAACAUAACAGACUUGGCCAAGCUAGCAUCUUAGCGGAAGCUGAUCUCCAAUGCUCUUCAGUAGGGUCAUGAAGGUUUUUCUUUUCCUGAGAAAACAACACGUAUUGUUUUCUCAGGUUUUGCUUUUUGGCCUUUUUCUAGCUUAAAAAAAAAAAAAGCAAAAGAUGCUGGUGGUUGGCACUCCUGGUUUCCAGGACGGGGUUCAAAUCCCUGCGGCGUCUUUGCUUUGACUACUAAUCUGUCUUCAGGACUCUUUCUGUAUUUCUCCUUUUCUCUGCAGGUGCUAGUUCUUGGAGUUUUGGGGAGGUGGGAGGUAACAGCACAAUAUCUUUGAACUAUAUACAUCCUUGAUGUAUAAUUUGUCAGGAGCUUGACUUGAUUGUAUAUUCAUAUUUACACGAGAACCUAAUAUAACUGCCUUGUCUUUUUCAGGUAAUAGCCUGCAGCUGGUGUUUUGAGAAGCCCUACUGCUGAAAACUUAACAAUUUUGUGUAAUAAAAAUGGAGAAGCUCUAAAUUGUUGUGGUUCUUUUGUGAAUAAAAAAAUCUUGAUUGG